This is a long non-coding RNA of Rosa chinensis, 399 nucleotides long. RefSeq lists it as uncharacterized. The record is from RefSeq and is a predicted model, not a curated record. The transcript has 5 exons. NCBI's taxonomy places the organism in Eukaryota, Viridiplantae, Streptophyta, Magnoliopsida, Rosales, Rosaceae.
ACUGCGGGUUAAGAGGUUGGGCGUUGUUUUGACGCGAUAGAAGGGUGUGGACUGAAUUUCAUAGAGGUUUGUCGUUGUUUUGACCCGAUAGAAGGGAGUGGAUUUAGCUCUUUCCAAUCUUCGAUCUGUCGAUAAAAGGUGAUCUGCGACAACUAAACCAAUCGUGUUUGGGUCUUGAAGAUAAUCGUGCUAAACCAACCAGAAUUGAAAGAAGGGAGAAAAGCCAAACCAUUCCAAUCUUGGAUCUGUGGGUGACAGAUUUGAUGCGAAAGACUCUGUCUUUGAUUGUUUUGUAGCUGUUCCUCAAUCUGUUGUUUGCUGGUGUUUCAGUGUUUUGCUUUUAUUCAGAUUUGAGGAACAGUUUGGUGUUACAUUGUUUAUCUACUUCAAAUUUAGGUA